UGGGGAAUAUUGCACAAUGGGGGAAACCCUGAUGCAGCGACGCCGCGUGAACGAAGAAGGUAUUCGUAUCGUAAAGUUCUGUCCUAUGGGAAGAUAGUGACAGUACCAUAGAAGAAAGCUCCGGCUAAAUACGUGCCAGCAGCCGCGGUAAUACGUAUGGAGCGAGCGUUGUCCGGAAUUAUUGGGCGUAAAGGGUACGCAGGCGGUUUAAUAAGUCGAAUGUUAAAGAUCGGGGCUCAACCCCGCAAAGCAUUGGAAACUGAUAAACUUGAGUAGUGGAGAGGAAAGUGGAAUUCCUAGUGUAGUGGUGAAAUACGUAGAUAUUAGGAGGAAUACCAGUAGCGAAGGCGACUUUCUGGACACAAACUGACGCUGAGGUACGAAAGCGUGGGGAGCAAACAGG
RNAcentral lists this ribosomal RNA (403 nucleotides) under bacterium. RNAcentral describes it as "partial 16S ribosomal RNA". It matches the Rfam family "Bacterial small subunit ribosomal RNA", at positions 355 to 776 of the family's 1533-position model. The record is from RNAcentral.